AACUGUUUAGUGGCGGACGGGUGAGUAACGCGUGGGCAACCUGCCCUGUACAGGGGGACAACACUUAGAAAUAGGUGCUAAUACCGCAUAACGGGGGGAGCCGCAUGGCACCCCCCUGAAAACUCCGGUGGUACAGGAUGGGCCCGCGUCUGAUUAGCUGGUUGGCAGGGUAACGGCCUACCAAGGCGACGAUCAGUAGCCGGCCUGAGAGGGCGGACGGCCACACUGGGACUGAGACACGGCCCAGACUCCUACGGAAGGCAGCAG
Molecule: ribosomal RNA, 267 nt
Filed under: uncultured bacterium
Lineage: Bacteria
Description: partial 16S ribosomal RNA
Rfam family: Bacterial small subunit ribosomal RNA
Source: RNAcentral